AUUGAACGCUGGCGGCAGGCAUAACACAUGCAAGUCGAGCGAGCGGCGGACGGGUGAGUAAUGUCUGGGAAACUGCCCGAUGGAGGGGGAUAACUACUGGAAACGGUAGCUAAUACCGCAUACUAUCAGAUAAGCCCAUAUGGGAUUAGCGAGUAGGUGGGGUAAAGGCUCACCUAGGCGACGAUCUCUAGCUGUGCUGAGAGGAGGAGCAGCCACACUGAGACUGAGACACGGUCCAGACUCCUACGGGAGGCAGCAGUGGGGAAUAUUGCACAAUGGGCGCAAGCCUGAUGCAGCCAGGCUGCGUGUAUGAAGAAGGCCUUCGGGUUGUAAAGUACUUUCAGCGGGGAGGCGUUACUCGCAGAAGAAGCACCGGCUAACUCCGUGCCAGCAGCCGCGGUAAUAC
RNAcentral lists this ribosomal RNA (406 nucleotides) under uncultured bacterium. Its description in RNAcentral is "partial 16S ribosomal RNA". It matches the Rfam family "Bacterial small subunit ribosomal RNA", at positions 30 to 526 of the family's 1533-position model. The record is from RNAcentral.